UUAAGUGACGAUAGCCUAGGAGAUACACCUGUACCCAUGCCGAACACAGCAGUUAAGCCCUAGAACGCCUGAAGUAGUUGGGGGUUGCCCCCUGUUAGAUACGGUAGUCGCUU
RNAcentral lists this ribosomal RNA (113 nucleotides) under Streptococcus suis. Lineage: Bacteria; Bacillati; Bacillota; Bacilli; Lactobacillales; Streptococcaceae. The record is from RNAcentral.